AUCAUGGAGAGUUUGAUCCUGGCUCAGAACAAACGCUGGCGGCGCGUCUUAAGCAUGCAAGUCGAACGGUAAGAUUGGAAGCUUGCUUCUAAUCCUAGAGUGGCGGACUGGUGAGUAACGCGUAGGUGAC
Molecule: ribosomal RNA, 130 nt
Filed under: Treponema sp.
Lineage: Bacteria; Pseudomonadati; Spirochaetota; Spirochaetia; Treponematales; Treponemataceae
Description: partial 16S ribosomal RNA
Rfam family: Bacterial small subunit ribosomal RNA
Source: RNAcentral